AUGGCAUGGGGAGUGCGAGGCCGCCACGCCAAGGGGUCAACUGGUUGGGGGGGCGGGGCUAUUUACGGGGGGGGGGUGGGUGGGGUGGGGGGGGCUCACAUUCAGCGAAGCGGAGGGUCGUUGGUCCCGGGCGCCUCGGCCUCGGGCCACUCUCUGUGGGCCCCAACGUCGUCUGGUGUCUCCUCGCUGCUGCUUGCUGCUGAGGCCUGCUCCUCCUGCUCCAACUGCGCCUUCUCCACCUCCUCAGGGAUCGUCGGACAUCCUUCAAGCAUCUCGUCCAGCUCCUCUGCUAGCUUCUGUUCCGACUCCUCGCUCGACUCGUUGGAUUCGGAGACCUCGCUAGCCUCACCGGCCUCGUUAGCCUUGUUAGCCUCGCUAGAGUCGCUAGCAUCACCAGCGUCGCUGGCGUCGCUAGAUUCGCUAGACUUGCUAGAUUCGCUAGAGUCGCUAGAGUCGCUAGCAUCGCUGGCAUCGAUAGCCUUGCUAGCAUUGCUGGCCUCGCCAGCCAUGGUAACCUCGCUGGAGUCGCUAACCUCGCUAUUGUCGCUAGAGUCGCUGUCCUCGCUAGACUCGCUGUCCUCGCUAGACUCGGUAGCCUUGGUAACCUCGCCGGAGUCGCUAACCUCGCUAUUCUCGCUAGAGUCGCUAUCCUCGCUAGCCUUGGUAACCAUGGCAACCUCGUCAGACUCGCUAGCCGCGGGAGCCUCGAUAGAGUCGUUAACCUCUUUAUUCUCGCUAGAGUCGCUAUCCUCGCUAGCCUUGGUAACCAUGGGAACCUCGUCAGACUCGCUAGCCGCGGUAGCCUCGAUAGAGUCGUUAACCUCUUUAUUCUCGCUAGAGUCGCUAUCCUCGCUAGCCUCGGUAACCAUGGCAACCUCGUCAGACUCGCUAGCCGCGGUAGCCUCGAUAGAGUCGUUAACCUCUUUGUUCUCGCUAGAGUCGCUAUCCUCGCUAGCCUCGGUAACCAUGGCAACCUCGUCAGACUCGCUAGCUGCGGUAGCCUCGAUAGAGUCGUUAACCUCUUUGUUCUCGCUAGAGUCGCUAUCCUCGGUAGCCUUGGUAACCAUGCUGGAGUCGUUAACCUCUCUAUUGUCGCUAGAGUCGCUAUCCUCACUAGCUUCGGUAGCCUUGGUAACCAUGCUGGAGUCGUUCACCUCUUUAUUCUCGCUAGAGUCGCUAUCCUCGGUAGCCUUGGUAUAUUCCCUAGGGUCGUUAACCUCUCUAUUCUCGCUCGAGUCGUUAACCCAGCUAGCCGUGGUAACCAUGGUAACCUUGUCAGACUCGCUAGGCUUGCCGGACUGUCCAGCCUCGUCAGAGUCGUCAUUAUUAUCAUCAGCAUCAUCUGCCACACCAGCGGCGGUGCUAUCGUUCUUCUGGUCUGACUCUGGCUCCUCCUCUUCCUCUGAACUGUUCUCUAGGAGAUCCUCCUCCUUCUCUUCCGACGUCUUGUCUUCCAGGUCCACAUCCUUCUCCUCCUGGCUGCUGUCUCCUCCUGGCUGUGGGUCCUCCUGGUCGUUCACCUGCUCCUGGGAUUCUGCAGCGUCGGGCGAGUCUGUGAUCAGGUCUGGAAGGGGAGCAGAAACAGCUUUUCUCUGGUACGCCUUCAACACAUGUCCUUGGUGAGUUUCUGAGCCCCAGAUCCAGAUGGUUAAGACAGGUUAGUUGAGAGUUUUAUGUCUAGAGCGGUCAUUAGAGCUGCAUUAAGGUAUUACCUAAUGCAGCUUUAAGGUCUUACCUACUGCAGCUUUAAGGUCUUACCUACUGCAGCUUUAAGGUCUUACCUACUGCAGCUUUAAGGUCUAACCUACUGCAGCUUUGAGGUCUUACCUACUGCAGCUUUAAGGUCUUACCUACUGCAGAUUUAAGGUCUUGCCUACUGCAGCUUUAAGGUCAGGCAUACUGCAGCUUUAAG
This 1912-nucleotide long non-coding RNA is filed under the name Gadus morhua (Atlantic cod). RNAcentral describes it as "lncRNA (ENSGMOG00000028971.1)". The record is from RNAcentral. Lineage: Eukaryota; Metazoa; Chordata; Actinopteri; Gadiformes; Gadidae.